This is a non-coding RNA of Pangasianodon gigas (Mekong giant catfish), 75 nucleotides long. The record is from the annotation of a GenBank genome assembly. Lineage: Eukaryota; Metazoa; Chordata; Actinopteri; Siluriformes; Pangasiidae.
GGAAUUUGGCAUUAUAUUCAACCUCACACACCAGCUUUAUUACACUCAAAAACUUUAUUAGUGUAAUAGCAUAUU